Molecule: transfer RNA, 75 nt
Filed under: Cordylochernes scorpioides
Lineage: Eukaryota; Metazoa; Arthropoda; Arachnida; Pseudoscorpiones; Chernetidae
Description: tRNA-Thr
Source: RNAcentral
UGUCCAGGGAUGGGAAUCGUACCCAUAGUGUUCCGUUUACUGGGCAAAUGCCAUGUCUACUAGGCUACCCUGUAC